AUUGAACGCUGGCGGCAUGCUUUACACAUGCAAGUCGAACGGCAGCGGGGAGGAGCUUGCUUCUCUGCCGGCGAGUGGCGAACGGGUGAGUAAUACAUCGGAACGUGUAGAGAAGAGGGGGAUAACCACCCGAAAGGGUGGCUAAUACCGCAUAAAUUCUGAGGAAGAAAGCUGGGGACCUAGGAAUAGGCCUAGCGCUUUUUGAGCGGCCGAUGUCGGAUUAGCUAGUUGGUGAGGUAAAGGCUCACCAAGGCGAAGAUCUGUAGCGGGUCUGAGAGGAUGAUCCGCCACACUGGGACUGAGACACGGCCCAGACUCCUACGGGAGGCAGCAGUGGGGAAUUUUGGACAAUGGGGGCAACCCUGAUCCAGCCAUGCCGCGUGUAUGAAGAAGGCCUUAGGGUUGUAAAGUACUUUUGUUAGGGAAGAAAAGUCAGCUGUGAAUAAUGGCUGAUACUGACGGUACCUAAAGAAUAAGCACCGGCUAACUACGUG
Molecule: ribosomal RNA, 494 nt
Filed under: uncultured bacterium
Lineage: Bacteria
Description: partial 16S ribosomal RNA
Rfam family: Bacterial small subunit ribosomal RNA
Source: RNAcentral